GUCCAAGUCCCUAUAGCCCAGCCUCAGCCCUAACUCCUGCUGUCUCCCCCAGUCCAAGUCCCUAUAGCCCAGCCUCAGCCCUAACUCCUGCUGUCUCCCCCGGUCCAGGUCCCUAUAGCCCAGCCUCAGCCCUAACUCCUGCUGUCUCCCCCAGUCCAAGUCCCUAUAGCCCAGCCUCAGCCCUAACUCCUGCUGUCUCCCCCAGUCCAAGUCCCUAUAGCCCAGCCUCAGCCCUAACUCCUGCUGUCUCCCCCGGUCCAGGUCCCUAUAGCCCAGCCUCAGCCCUAACUCCUGCUGUCUCCCCCAGUCCAAGUCCCUAUAGCCCAGCCUCAGCCC
Oncorhynchus keta (chum salmon) is the source of this 336-nucleotide long non-coding RNA. RefSeq lists it as uncharacterized. The transcript is spliced from 3 exons. The record is from RefSeq and is a predicted model, not a curated record. Lineage: Eukaryota; Metazoa; Chordata; Actinopteri; Salmoniformes; Salmonidae.